This 743-nucleotide ribosomal RNA is filed under the name uncultured bacterium. RNAcentral's name for it is "bacterial SSU rRNA". It matches the Rfam family "Bacterial small subunit ribosomal RNA", at positions 38 to 765 of the family's 1533-position model. The record is from RNAcentral.
GGCGGUAUGCUUAACACAUGCAAGUCGGACGGUAACGGGCCUUCGGGCGCCGACGAGUGGCGGACGGGUGAGUAACGCGUAGGAACCUGCCCCGUAGUGGGGGACAACUUAUGGAAACGUAAGCUAAUACCGCAUACGCCCCCUUCCCGGGAGGGGAGGGGGGAAAGCGGGGGACCUUCGGGCCUCGCGCUAUGGGAUGGGCCUGCGUUGGAUUAGCUGGUUGGCGGGGUAAAGGCCCACCAAGGCGACGAUCCAUAGCUGGUCUGAGAGGACGACCAGCCACACUGGGACUGAGACACGGCCCAGACUCCUACGGGAGGCAGCAGUGGGGAAUAUUGGACAAUGGGCGGAAGCCUGAUCCAGCAAUACCGCGUGUGUGAAGAAGGCCUGAGGGUUGUAAAGCACUUUCAAUGGGGAGGAAAAAGCGCAGGCGAAUACCCUGCGUAUUGACAUUACCCAUAGAAGAAGCACCGGCUAACUCCGUGCCAGCAGCCGCGGUAAUACGGAGGGUGCGAGCGUUAAUCGGAAUUACUGGGCGUAAAGCGUGCGUAGGCGGCUUGCCAAGUCAGAUGUGAAAGCCCUGGGCUCAACCUGGGAACGGCAUUUGAAACUGGCGGGCUAGAGUUAGGUAGAGGGGGGCGGAAUUCCGGGUGUAGCGGUGAAAUGCGUAGAUAUCCGGAGGAACACCAGUGGCGAAGGCGGCCCCCUGGACCCAAACUGACGCUGGGGCACGAAAGCGUGGG